UUAAAAUAAUUCAUUUUUUGACUGUGUUUGGUUUUUUUAAAACAAUUCAUUUUUUCUCUCAGAUGCCUCUACCUCCUCCACCAGCAGUUCCACCACAGCCUCACCCAAAAUAAGUAGUUCAUCCAGAUUUGCGGGUGUAUCUAUCUGCACUAUAUAAGCAAGAUAUACAGUUGAGGAUUUGCUUACCAAGUCUAAACGGAAAGGUUUGAACAUUUUGGACUCUGAUAAACCGUCAGGUUUGGGGCCAAAAACGUGUUUCCCGGAACAUUUCAGAGACGAUCAAGGGAUAUUACAAUGGGGCUUAUCCGAACUGGAACAUGACUCCAGAUCACGUUAAAACGACUGGAUUUAAAUGUUUUGCGUAAAAAUGACACUGAUCCUUAGGAAUCACUGAGGGAAUGAAGAGGGAAUUUCAUGCAAAAGCGAAGAUCCGCCUUUACAACACCGUCCGAGAUUAGAAGGACAAGUGGGAGAUCUACAAUUAUGACGGGAAGUCUACGGAGGUCACUCAAGAUAUAUGGGAUGAACUCAUCGCCUAUUAGAAGCUACCCUCCUCGAUCCAAAAGGCCAACACGUGCUCCGCUUCCUGAAGAAUGAAGGAUAAGAUGGUCAUUUGCCUAUGCUUCAUAGAACUGGACAAAAACUCCAUGCCGGAAUUCAUUUAGAAGUUGUAAAUUUUAGUUGUAAUAUUUAUUUUAUAAUUCAUUUAAGCUUAUAUUUAUUACUGAAAUUUAAUUUUAAUCUUCAAUUUUAUUUAUUAUUCAUGUUUGUAGUUAGAAAAGACGAAAGUUUUGCCAUCUCUAUCUGAUUUCUUCAAGAUGAU
Molecule: long non-coding RNA, 823 nt
Organism: Raphanus sativus (radish)
Lineage: Eukaryota; Viridiplantae; Streptophyta; Magnoliopsida; Brassicales; Brassicaceae
Exons: 3
Source: RefSeq, a predicted model, not a curated record